ACGCGUGGACAGUAUCCAUAUAACCAAUUAUAUCUUAUGUUUAUGCGCGUGGACACUAUAUGCUUGCAUGCAGCAACCAAUCAGAGCUUUUAGAGGAACUU
This is a long non-coding RNA of Aquila chrysaetos chrysaetos, 101 nucleotides long. RefSeq lists it as uncharacterized. The record is from RefSeq and is a predicted model, not a curated record. The transcript has 3 exons. NCBI's taxonomy places the organism in Eukaryota, Metazoa, Chordata, Aves, Accipitriformes, Accipitridae.